GUGUCAGCAGCCGCGGUAAUACGUAGGUGGCAAGCGUUGUCCGGAAUUAUUGGGCGUAAAGCGCGCGCAGGUGGUUUAAUAAGUCUGAUGUGAAAGCCCACGGCUCAACCGUGGAGGGUCAUUGGAAACUGUUAAACUUGAGUGCAGGAGAGAAAAGUGGAAUUCCUAGUGUAGCGGUGAAAUGCGUAGAGAUUAGGAGGAACACCAGUGGCGAAGGCGGCUUUUUGGCCUGUAACUGACACUGAGGCGCGAAAGCGUGGGGAGCAAACAGGAUUAGAUACCCCCGUAGUCC
This 292-nucleotide ribosomal RNA is filed under the name uncultured prokaryote. RNAcentral's name for it is "partial 16S ribosomal RNA". It matches the Rfam family "Bacterial small subunit ribosomal RNA", at positions 505 to 796 of the family's 1533-position model. The record is from RNAcentral.